GUGCUCGCUUCGGCAGCACAUGCAUUACAACUGAACAGAUACAGAGAAGAUUAGCAUGGCCCCUGCGCAAGGAUGACAUGAACAUUCAUGAAGCGCUCCAUAUUUUU
Molecule: small nuclear RNA, 107 nt
Organism: Apodemus sylvaticus (European woodmouse)
Lineage: Eukaryota; Metazoa; Chordata; Mammalia; Rodentia; Muridae
Source: RefSeq, a predicted model, not a curated record